GGGGGUGUAUCUCAGUGGGAGAGCUCUUGCUUAGCAUGCAUGAGGCCCUGGGUUCAAGCCCCAGUACCACCA
Sciurus carolinensis (gray squirrel) is the source of this 72-nucleotide non-coding RNA. The record is from the annotation of a RefSeq genome assembly. Lineage: Eukaryota; Metazoa; Chordata; Mammalia; Rodentia; Sciuridae.